AAGAAGGUCAGCGUCUCGUACAGAAGGUGUAGAUGUUUGGUUCCUGGGUACCUGUGUGUGGUUUACAGCAAACGAGCCCCCGCAUAAGGCUGGACCAAAUGGGGCCUACUUCUUCUCAACACCCACAGUUAAUUGCGCCUCUGGAUGUGCUACCGAUGCAACAACAAAGACCUCUUUGGAUGGUGUGACCACUCCACCGAACACUUCAGUCUCUGCCUUAAACCCGAAUAGCACUUCAGAUGUCAUCACACAGACCCACUCUAGUACAGGCAAGGAUAAUAACAGUCUGCAACCAAAUGCAAGCACUCAGUCCUCCC
Astatotilapia calliptera (eastern happy) is the source of this 317-nucleotide long non-coding RNA. Lineage: Eukaryota; Metazoa; Chordata; Actinopteri; Cichliformes; Cichlidae. The record is from Ensembl.